RNAcentral lists this ribosomal RNA (480 nucleotides) under bacterium PN310. Its description in RNAcentral is "bacterial SSU rRNA". It matches the Rfam family "Bacterial small subunit ribosomal RNA", at positions 19 to 494 of the family's 1533-position model. The record is from RNAcentral.
CUGGCUCAGAUUGAACGCUGGCGGCAUGCCUUACACAUGCAAGUCGAACGGCAGCACGGGGGCAACCCUGGUGGCGAGUGGCGAACGGGUGAGUAAUACAUCGGAACGUGUCCUGGAGUGGGGGAUAGCCCGGCGAAAGCCGGAUUAAUACCGCAUACGCUCUGAGGAGGAAAGGGGGGGAUCGCAAGACCUCUCGCUCAAGGGGCGGCCGAUGGCAGAUUAGGUAGUUGGUGGGGUAAAGGCCUACCAAGCCGACGAUCUGUAGCUGGUCUGAGAGGACGACCAGCCACACUGGGACUGAGACACGGCCCAGACUCCUACGGGAGGCAGCAGUGGGGAAUUUUGGACAAUGGGCGCAAGCCUGAUCCAGCAAUGCCGCGUGUGUGAAGAAGGCCUUCGGGUUGUAAAGCACUUUUGUCCGGAAAGAAAACUUCUGUCCUAAUACGGCGGGGGGAUGACGGUACCGGAAGAAUAAGCACC